CUGGGAGGACCAUCUCCUAAGGCUAAAUACUCUCUAGUGACCGAUAGUGAACCAGUACCGUGAGGGAAAGGUGAAAAGCACCCCGGAAGGGGAGUGAAAUAGAACCUGAAACCGUGUGCUUACAAGUAGUCAGAGCCCGUUAAUGGGUGAUGGCGUGCCUUUUGUAGAAUGAACCGGCGAGUUACGAUUUGAUGCAAGGUUAAGCAGUAAAUGUGGAGCCGUAGCGAAAGCGAGUCUGAAUAGGGCGUUUAGUAUUUGGUCGUAGACCCGAAACCAGGUGAUCUACCCUUGGUCAGGUUGAAGUUCAGGUAACACUGAAUGGAGGACCGAACCGACUUACGUUGAAAAGUGAGCGGAUGAACUGAGGGUAGCGGAGAAAUUCCAAUCGAACCUGGAGAUAGCUGGUUCUCUCCGAAAUAGCUUUAGGGCUAGCCUCAAGUGAUGAUUAUUGGAGGUAGAGCACUGUUUGGACGAGGGGCCCCUCUCGGGUUACCGAAUUCAGACAAACUCCGAAUGCCAAUUAAUUUAACUUGGGAGUCAGAACAUGGGUGAUAAGGUCCGUGUUCGAAAGGGAAACAGCCCAGACCACCAGCUAAGGUCCCAAAAUAUAUGUUAAGUGGAAAAGGAUGUGGCGUUGCCCAGACAACUAGGAUGUUGGCUUAGAAGCAGCCAUCAUUUAAAGAGUGCGUAAUAGCUCACUAGUCGAGUGACACUGCGCCGAAAAUGUACCGGGGCUAAACAUAUUACCGAAGCUGUGGAUUGUCCUUUGGACAAUGGUAGGAGAGCGUUCUAAGGGCGUUGAAGCAUGAUCGUAAGGACAUGUGGAGCGCUUAGAAGUGAGAAUGCCGGUGUGAGUAGCGAAAGACGGGUGAGAAUCCCGUCCACCGAUUGACUAAGGUUUCCAGAGGAAGGCUCGUCCGCUCUGGGUUAGUCGGGUCCUAAGCUGAGGCCGACAGGCGUAGGCGAUGGAUAACAGGUUGAUAUUCCUGUACCACCUAUAAUCGUUUUAAUCGAUGGGGGGACGCAGUAGGAUAGGCGAAGCGUGCGAUUGGAUUGCACGUCUAAGCAGUAAGGCUGAGUAUUAGGCAAAUCCGGUACUCG
RNAcentral lists this ribosomal RNA (1101 nucleotides) under Staphylococcus aureus. RNAcentral's name for it is "partial 23S ribosomal RNA". It matches the Rfam family "Bacterial large subunit ribosomal RNA", at positions 444 to 1551 of the family's 2925-position model. The record is from RNAcentral. Lineage: Bacteria; Bacillati; Bacillota; Bacilli; Caryophanales; Staphylococcaceae.